AUCUCUGGUCAGACCACUAGGAACAUUGCUGAUCUUGUGUCAUCUUAGAAGCUAAAAAGGAUAAGCCCUGGUCAGAAGCUGGAUGGGAGAUGAUCUGGAAAAACCAGGUGCCGAAGGUG
RNAcentral lists this ribosomal RNA (119 nucleotides) under Phascolarctos cinereus (koala). Lineage: Eukaryota; Metazoa; Chordata; Mammalia; Diprotodontia; Phascolarctidae. The record is from RNAcentral.